CAGUAGUCAUAUGCUUGUCUCAAAGAUUAAGCCAUGCAUGUCUCAGUGCAAGCCGUCCUGUACGGUGAAACCGCGAAAGGCUCAUUAAAUCAGUUAUGGUUCCUUAGAUAGUACCCACGUUACUUGGAUAACUGUGGUAAUUCUAGAGCUAAUACAUGCCGACAGAGUUCCGACCAGCGUCGCGGCGGCUUGCCGUUCGCGACGUUCGGAAGGAGCGCUUUUAUUAGAUCAAAAUCGGCCAAGCGCAACGUUCGCGUAGCGUUAGUGGCCCGCGCAAAGACUUGACGACUCUGAAUAACUUCGAGCUGAUCGCACGGUCUCGCACCGGCGACGUAUCUUUCAAAUGUCUGCCUUAUCAACUGUCGACGGUACGUUCGAUGCUUACCGUGGUGGUAACGGGUAACGGGGAAUCAGGGUUCGAUUCCGGAGAGGGAGCCUGAGAAACGGCUACCACAUCCAAGGAAGGCAGCAGGCGCGCAAAUUACCCACUCCCAGCUCGGGGAGGUAGUGACGAAAAAUAACGAUACGGGACUC
This 534-nucleotide ribosomal RNA is filed under the name Aspidiotus nerii (oleander scale). Its description in RNAcentral is "SSU rRNA". It matches the Rfam family "Eukaryotic small subunit ribosomal RNA", at positions 18 to 493 of the family's 1831-position model. Lineage: Eukaryota; Metazoa; Arthropoda; Insecta; Hemiptera; Diaspididae. The record is from RNAcentral.